Molecule: antisense RNA, 75 nt
Filed under: Umezawaea tangerina
Lineage: Bacteria; Bacillati; Actinomycetota; Actinomycetes; Pseudonocardiales; Pseudonocardiaceae
Description: ASpks TB sRNA
Rfam family: ASpks TB sRNA
Source: Rfam by way of RNAcentral
CUUGAUCGAGCCGAGCCACAGCGGCUCGUCACCCGAGCGCUCCUGGCCGUAGGUGGCCAGCAGGGCCUGCGCCUC